This 131-nucleotide ribosomal RNA is filed under the name Clonorchis sinensis. Its description in RNAcentral is "partial 5.8S ribosomal RNA". The record is from RNAcentral. Lineage: Eukaryota; Metazoa; Platyhelminthes; Trematoda; Opisthorchiida; Opisthorchiidae.
CGACCGGUGCAAAACAGAUUUGCAUCGAAUGCAUUGCCAAUACUGAAGCCUCAACCAAAGACAAAGGACCAACAACGGAGCGCGCACAUUCACAACAAUAACAACAAUUGAGCCACGACUCCGCCGCCACC